Molecule: transfer RNA, 70 nt
Filed under: Marmota monax (woodchuck)
Lineage: Eukaryota; Metazoa; Chordata; Mammalia; Rodentia; Sciuridae
Description: tRNA.Undet
Source: RNAcentral
GGGGAUGUAGCUCAGUGACAGAGUGUUUGCCUAGAUGUGAGAGGCCCUGGGUUCAAUCCCCAGCACCACA